Lacerta agilis (Sand lizard) is the source of this 495-nucleotide long non-coding RNA. RefSeq lists it as uncharacterized. NCBI's taxonomy places the organism in Eukaryota, Metazoa, Chordata, Lepidosauria, Squamata, Lacertidae. The transcript is spliced from 3 exons. The record is from RefSeq and is a predicted model, not a curated record.
UUGAAUGCAGCCCUGGACUACAACGACCAGAAAUCUUUCCGGGUAGGGAGGCCAUCUUGAGCGUUGCUAGGACACGGAGACGCCCCUGGAAGAGGUGGCGGUAGUAUUUGGAGGAGGAGGGAUCAGGUACGAAAGAAUGAUGGCAUCGGGAAGGAAGAAGAAUUACUGUGCUUUCACAAUAACUCUAGAGGGAUCUGAUGAUGAAGGGAAGGAGAAAAGAACAGAUACUGAGAGCAUGCAGGAGGCUUUCGAAAAGUUCAGAAGACGGCGGCAGAUGUGGUCCAGCAGAACUCUCCUCCUCCUUUCAUCUGGGCCUCGUCCUCAGCUUGGCAUCGUGACUCGGCUCCCACUCCCGUGGAGAAGAUGAAAUGUCAAGCCAAGGAAAUAUUGGCGGAAUGAGGGCCUUGUAUACAAUUUGUCUCGCUGCAAGAAUAUGCCUCAUAAAGUUGAAAUAUGUGGACAGCCAGGCUGACAGUAAAAACUGAAGGCUCGUUA